AUUAUGGCUCAGGAUGAACGCUGGCGGCGUGCUUAACACAUGCAAGUCGAACGGAGUUUUUAAACGGAAGUUUUCGGAUGGAAGUUUAGAAACUUAGUGGCGGACGGGUGAGUAACGCGUGGGUAACCUGCCUCAUACAGGGGGAUAACAGUUAGAAAUGACUGCUAACACCGCAUAAUAUAGCGAAACCGCAUGAUUUUUGCUAUCAAAUAUUUAUAGGUAUGAGAUGGGCCCGCGUCUGAUUAGCUAGUUGGUGGGGUAGAAGCCUACCAAGGCGACGAUCAGUAGCCGGCUUGAGAGAGUGACCGGCCACAUUGGGACUGAGACACGGCCCAAACUCCUACGGGAGGCAGCAGUGGGGAAUAUUGGACAAUGGGGGAAACCCUGAUCCAGCGACGCCCGCGUGAGUGAAGAAGUAUUUCGGUAUGUAAAGCUCUAUCAGCAGGGAAGAUAAUGACAGUACCUGACUAAGAAGCCCCGGCUAACUACGUGCCAGCAGCAGC
This 503-nucleotide ribosomal RNA is filed under the name uncultured bacterium. RNAcentral's name for it is "bacterial SSU rRNA". It matches the Rfam family "Bacterial small subunit ribosomal RNA", at positions 16 to 518 of the family's 1533-position model. The record is from RNAcentral.